Molecule: ribosomal RNA, 119 nt
Filed under: Periophthalmus magnuspinnatus
Lineage: Eukaryota; Metazoa; Chordata; Actinopteri; Gobiiformes; Gobiidae
Source: RNAcentral
UUGAUUGGCCAAACCUCCUCGUCAAAGCCUCAUCUUGUCAAAUCUGAGAAGCUAAGCAGGACUAGGCCUGGUCAGUACUUGGAUGGGUGACCGCUGAAGAUUCUGGGUGGUAAAAUGGG